This 254-nucleotide ribosomal RNA is filed under the name uncultured bacterium. Its description in RNAcentral is "partial 16S ribosomal RNA". It matches the Rfam family "Bacterial small subunit ribosomal RNA", at positions 524 to 776 of the family's 1533-position model. The record is from RNAcentral.
UACGUAGGGCGCAAGCGUUAUCCGGAAUUAUUGGGCGUAAAGAGCUCGUAGGCGGUUUGUCGCGUCUGCCGUGAAAGUCCGGGGCUCAACUCCGGAUCUGCGGUGGGUACGGGCAGACUAGAGUGAUGUAGGGGAGACUGGAAUUCCUGGUGUAGCGGUGAAAUGCGCAGAUAUCAGGAGGAACACCGAUGGCGAAGGCAGGUCUCUGGGCAUUAACUGACGCUGAGGAGCGAAAGCAUGGGGAGCGAAACAGG